AAGGAUAUAUGAAGAGAUGCAAAAGAUUGAGAAACAACCAACAAAUGAUAAUGAGACUGGUCCUACUCCAGAUGAUGUCUUAGAAGAGGUGUUUGGCGUUAGAUCUGGUUAUGUUCGUGGUAAAGGAUUAGGAUACAAAGCAAGCACUAGAGGAAUGGCAAGUGGUUCUAGAAAUGAGGAAUUAAAUGAAUUGAGAGACGAGGUAGCAAGGUUGAAUGCUCCUUUGAAGGAACAAGAACAACGCAAUAAUGAGAUAGCACAACUAAUUGCUUGACUCAAGGAACAAGAAGAGCGCAAUUUGGAGUUUUUUAAAAGAUUUGAGAGUGUGAUAGGAUACAAAUCAUCAAAAAGUUAGGAUAUAACAAUAGUAAGUACUUUUUAGAUAUAUUUAAUUUCAUGAAUUAGAAAAAUUACUUUUUGAAUGACCUUUUAUUUAAAUAUAUAGUAGGACUAACAGAUCAAGUGAUGAAGGCUUGCAGACUAACAAUAAAGUUGAAUUAGAGUUUUAACACUUCUAUUAUCAUAGGAGUUUUAUUUUGAAUAUUAUCAAAUAUGAACAAAUUAGGAAUAAAAGUAGGUAGAUUUAAGUUUAUUUUGAAUACUAGCUACGUGCACUUAAAAAUUACUGUUAUAUCAUACUUUAAAACUUUUGUUGCGUUUUAUUAUUGAAUAUUAAUUUUAUCAUAUAGUUGUUUUGAAUUAAAUAUGAAAUUUACGUGUAACAAUAUUUUUAAUAAUUAUAAAUAUACUAUCCCAAUAUUAAAAGCAACUUUAUAGGGGACAAAAUAUGAGGAUAUGAGGAUGAAAAUUAUCCCUAUUUAAUUUUUAUCAGGGGACGACUGUUGUCCCCUUAAUAGUAAGGGAUGACUAUGGUCUCUAUAAUUGGGGACAAUUAUUGUCCCCUUUAAAUAGGGAUGAAUGUCAUCCCCUUUUGAUAGGGGGACGAUUAUGGUCCCCCUUGAGUUUGGACAAUGGGGACGACAAUCAUCCCCAUGUUAGGGGACGACUAUAAUUGUCGUCCCCAUAUUAGGGACGACUAUUGUCUCUUUUUUUAGGGACGACAUUAUGAUCGUCCCCUAUAGAAUAGGGUACAGAGGUAAAGAGGACAACAGGUGGGGACGAUUAAUGUGUUAGUAAUAUGCCGUAGAGCAUAUCAUUCAGUAUGUAUCUUGUACAUCUUUUAUUAAUAAAAGACAUUUUUACUUUUCUGUUUACAUAAUAUAUUUAUGUAUAAUAAAAAAGG
Molecule: unclassified non-coding RNA, 1243 nt
Filed under: Hevea brasiliensis (rubber tree)
Lineage: Eukaryota; Viridiplantae; Streptophyta; Magnoliopsida; Malpighiales; Euphorbiaceae
Source: RNAcentral